CAAUAGCGUAUAUUAAAGUUGUUGCAGUUAAAGCUCGUAGUUGGAUUUGUGGCGUACGGUGUGUUCCGGGCACUUGUUGUCUGAGUAACCUGCCGUUGCCAUCCUUGGGUGGAACCUGUGUGGGCAUUAGGUUGUCGUGCAGGGGAUGCCCAUCAUUUACUGUGAAAAAUUAGAGUGUUCAAAGCAGGCUUAUGCCGUUGAAUAUAUUAGCAUGGAAUAAUAAGAUAGGACUUUGGAACUAUUUUGUUGGUUUGCGUUACAAAGUAAUGAUUAAUAGGGACAGUUGGGGUGAUUCGUAUUUCGUUUGUCAGAGGUGAAAUUCUUGGAUUUCCGAAAGACGAACUACUGCGAAAGCAUUUACCAAGGAUGUUUUCAUUAAUCAAGAACGAAAGUUAGGGGAUCGAAGAUGAUUAGAU
Molecule: ribosomal RNA, 416 nt
Filed under: uncultured eukaryote
Lineage: Eukaryota
Description: SSU rRNA
Rfam family: Eukaryotic small subunit ribosomal RNA
Source: RNAcentral